This 688-nucleotide ribosomal RNA is filed under the name Bacillus toyonensis. Its description in RNAcentral is "bacterial SSU rRNA". It matches the Rfam family "Bacterial small subunit ribosomal RNA", at positions 89 to 761 of the family's 1533-position model. Lineage: Bacteria; Bacillati; Bacillota; Bacilli; Caryophanales; Bacillaceae. The record is from RNAcentral.
AAGUUAGCGGCGGACGGGUGAGUAACACGUGGGUAACCUGCCCAUAAGACUGGGAUAACUCCGGGAAACCGGGGCUAAUACCGGAUAACAUUUUGAACCGCAUGGUUCGAAAUUGAAAGGCGGCUUCGGCUGUCACUUAUGGAUGGACCCGCGUCGCAUUAGCUAGUUGGUGAGGUAACGGCUCACCAAGGCAACGAUGCGUAGCCGACCUGAGAGGGUGAUCGGCCACACUGGGACUGAGACACGGCCCAGACUCCUACGGGAGGCAGCAGUAGGGAAUCUUCCGCAAUGGACGAAAGUCUGACGGAGCAACGCCGCGUGAGUGAUGAAGGCUUUCGGGUCGUAAAACUCUGUUGUUAGGGAAGAACAAGUGCUAGUUGAAUAAGCUGGCACCUUGACGGUACCUAACCAGAAAGCCACGGCUAACUACGUGCCAGCAGCCGCGGUAAUACGUAGGUGGCAAGCGUUAUCCGGAAUUAUUGGGCGUAAAGCGCGCGCAGGUGGUUUCUUAAGUCUGAUGUGAAAGCCCACGGCUCAACCGUGGAGGGUCAUUGGAAACUGGGAGACUUGAGUGCAGAAGAGGAAAGUGGAAUUCCAUGUGUAGCGGUGAAAUGCGUAGAGAUAUGGAGGAACACCGGUGGCGAAAGGCGACUUUCUGGUCUGUAACUGACACUGAGGCGCGAAAGCG